Molecule: ribosomal RNA, 504 nt
Filed under: uncultured bacterium
Lineage: Bacteria
Description: bacterial SSU rRNA
Rfam family: Bacterial small subunit ribosomal RNA
Source: RNAcentral
GGAGACGACAGGGGCGGAGACGCCUUCUUCCACGGACGUCUUCCGAGGUGCUGCAUGGUUGUCGUCAGCUCGUGCCGUGAGGUGUCGGCUUAAGUGCCAUAACGAGCGCAACCCCUGCCGACAGUUGCUAACGGGUAGAGCCGAGGACUCUGUCGGGACUGCCGGCGCAAGCCGCGAGGAAGGCGGGGAUGACGUCAAAUCAGCACGGCCUUUACGUCCGGGGCGACACACGUGUUACAAUGGCCGGUACAGCGGGAAGCCAGGCGGCGACGCCGAGCGGAACCCGAAAACCGGUCUCAGUUCGGAUCGGAGUCUGCAACCCGACUCCGUGAAGCUGGAUUCGCUAGUAAUCGCGCAUCAGCCAUGGCGCGGUGAAUACGUUCCCGGGCUUUGUACACACCGCCCGUCAAGCCAUGGGAGCCGGGGGUGCUUGAAGUGCGUCGCCGCGAGGCGCGCCUUAGAGCAAAACCGGUGACUGGGGCUAAGUCGUAACAAGGUAGCUGU